GCUGAGAAAGAGUCAGCUGUUGUAAAUAAGCUAAAUUAUUCUGUCAUAGUAGGAAAAAGUCAAGAUAAUGUUUAAAGUUGAUAAAUAGGAAAUACCCAUUCAAGCACGUUAUUUAGAGAUACGAAGUUACCGCCAGAAGAACUAAAUGCGAAAAGUGGUUGCAUCUGGGGCUGAGAAGCAGGGGAUAGGAAGACAUCAGUUUUUUACUACAUGAGUCGUUAUGUACUAUUUUGCCUUUUUAAAAUUGUGCGUGUGCAGCCUUGCUGCCACCAACAUGGAGACUUUGUACCGUGUCCCGCUCUUAGUGCUCGAAUGUCCCAACCUGAAGCUGAAGAAGCCGCCCUGGUUACACAUGCCGUCGGCCAUGGCUGUGUAUGCUCUAGUGGUGGUGUCUUACUUCCUCAUCACCGGAGGAAUAAUUUAUGAUGUUAUUGUUGAACCUCCAAGUGUCGGCUCUAUGACUGAUGAACAUGGGCAUCAGAGGCCAGUAGCUUUCUUGGCCUACAGAGUAAAUGGACAGUAUAUUAUGGAAGGACUUGCAUCCAGCUUCCUAUUUACAAUGGGAGGUUUGGGUUUCAUAAUCCUGGACCGAGCGAAUGCACCAAAUAUCCCAAAACUCAAUAGAUUUUGUCUUCUGUUCAUUGGAUUCGUCUGUGUCCUAUUGAGUUUUUUCAUGGCUAGAGUAUUCAUGAGAAUGAAACUGCCGGGCUAUCUGAUGGGUUACAGUGCCUUUGAGAAGAAAUCAGUGGAUACUGGAUUUGCUCCUGUCAAUGAAGUUUUAAAGGCUGUACCAAUCCUCUAAUAUGAAAUGUGGAGAAGAAUGAAGAGCAGCAGUAAAAGAAAGAUCUAGUGAAAAAACAGGAAGCAUAUUGAAGCUUGGACUAGAAUUUCUUCUUGGUAUUAAAGAGAAAAGUUUAUCACAGUAUUUUUUUUUCCUGCUGACCUAUUGCUAUACCAAUGAUGUUGAGUGGCAUUUUCUUUUUAGUUUUUCAUUUCUUAACAUAUACUCCAUAUCUACAACUAUAAUGUCAAAUAAAGUGAUUAUUUUUUUACAACCCCCUUAACAUUUUUUGGAAAUGACAUUUCUGAUUUUCAGAAAUUAACAUAAAAUCCGGAAGCAAGAUUCCAUAAGCUGAGAACUCUGGACAGCUGAUCAGCUUUACCUAUGGUGCUUUGCCUUUAACUAGAGUGUGUGAUGGUAGAUUAUUUCAGAUAUGCAUGUAAAACUGUUUCCUGAACAAUAAGAUGUAUGAACGGAGCAGAAAUAAAUACUUUUUCUAAUUAAAAAAAAA
Nomascus leucogenys (northern white-cheeked gibbon) is the source of this 1292-nucleotide RNA transcript. It is a transcript of the gene named oligosaccharyltransferase complex subunit OSTC pseudogene, with no coding region annotated. The transcript has a single exon. NCBI's taxonomy places the organism in Eukaryota, Metazoa, Chordata, Mammalia, Primates, Hylobatidae. The record is from RefSeq and is a predicted model, not a curated record.